CGGUCUGUUAGUCAGAUGUGAAAUCCCCGGGCUUAACCUGGGAACUGCAUUUGAAACUGGCAGGCUUGAGUCUUGUAGAGGGGGGUAGAAUUCCAGGUGUAGCGGUGAAAUGCGUAGAGAUCUGGAGGAAUACCGGUGGCGAAGGCGGCCCCCUGGACAAAGACUGACGCUCAGGUGCGAAAGCGUGGUGGAGCAAACAGGAUUAGAUACCCUGGUA
This 217-nucleotide ribosomal RNA is filed under the name Enterobacteriaceae bacterium P4. RNAcentral describes it as "partial 16S ribosomal RNA". It matches the Rfam family "Bacterial small subunit ribosomal RNA", at positions 576 to 792 of the family's 1533-position model. Lineage: Bacteria; Pseudomonadati; Pseudomonadota; Gammaproteobacteria; Enterobacterales; Enterobacteriaceae. The record is from RNAcentral.